Molecule: ribosomal RNA, 549 nt
Filed under: Aliarcobacter skirrowii
Lineage: Bacteria; Pseudomonadati; Campylobacterota; Epsilonproteobacteria; Campylobacterales; Arcobacteraceae
Description: bacterial SSU rRNA
Rfam family: Bacterial small subunit ribosomal RNA
Source: RNAcentral
GCCCUAACGAUGUACACUAGUUGUUGUGAGACUAGAUCUUGCAGUAAUGCAGUUAACACAUUAAGUGUACCGCCUGGGGAGUACGGUCGCAAGAUUAAAACUCAAAGGAAUAGACGGGGACCCGCACAAGCGGUGGAGCAUGUGGUUUAAUUCGACGAUACACGAAGAACCUUACCUGGACUUGACAUAGUAAGAACUUUCUAGAGAUAGAUUGGUGUCUGCUUGCAGAAACUUAUAUACAGGUGCUGCACGGCUGUCGUCAGCUCGUGUCGUGAGAUGUUGGGUUAAGUCCCGCAACGAGCGCAACCCUCGUGUUUAGUUGCUAACAGUUCGGCUGAGAACUCUAAACAGACUGCCUACGCAAGUAGGAGGAAGGUGAGGACGACGUCAAGUCAUCAUGGCCCUUACGUCCAGGGCUACACACGUGCUACAAUGGGAUAUACAAAGAGCGGCAAUACGGUGACGUGGAGCAAAUCUUAUAAAAUAUCUCCCAGUUCGGAUUGUAGUCUGCAACUCGACUACAUGAAGUUGGAAUCGCUAGUAAUCGUA